ACACUCCUACGGGAGGCAGCAGUGGGGAAUUUUGGACAAUGGGCGAAAGCCUGAUCCAGCAAUGCCGCGUGAGUGAAGAAGGCCUUCGGGUUGUAAAGCUCUUUUGUCAGGGAAGAAACGGUGAGAGCUAAUAUCUCUUGCUAAUGACGGUACCUGAAGAAUAAGCACCGGCUAACUACGUGCCAGCAGCCGCGGUAAUACGUAGGGUGCAAGCGUUAAUCGGAAUUACUGGGCGUAAAGCGUGCGCAGGCGGUUUUGUAAGUCUGAUGUGAAAUCCCCGGGCUCAACCUGGGAAUUGCAUUGGAGACUGCAAGGCUAGAAUCUGGCAGAGGGGGGUAGAAUUCCACGUGUAGCAGUGAAAUGCGUAGAUAUGUGGAGGAACACCGAUGGCGAAGGCAGCCCCCUGGGUCAAGAUUGACGCUCAUGCACGAAAGCGUGGGGAGCAAACAGGAUUAGAAACCCGGGUAGUCCCA
Molecule: ribosomal RNA, 473 nt
Filed under: uncultured organism
Description: partial 16S ribosomal RNA
Rfam family: Bacterial small subunit ribosomal RNA
Source: RNAcentral